Molecule: ribosomal RNA, 561 nt
Filed under: uncultured bacterium
Lineage: Bacteria
Description: bacterial SSU rRNA
Rfam family: Bacterial small subunit ribosomal RNA
Source: RNAcentral
CCUACGGGAGGCAGCAGUGGGGAAUAUUGGACAAUGGGCGCAAGCCUGAUCCAGCAAUGCCGCGUGAGUGAUGAAGGCCUUCGGGUCGUAAAGCUCUUUUACCCGGGAUGAUAAUGACAGUACCGGGAGAAUAAGCUCCGGCUAACUCCGUGCCAGCAGCCGCGGUAAUACGGAGGGAGCUAGCGUUGUUCGGAAUUACUGGGCGUAAAGCGCACGUAGGCGGUUAUUCAAGUCAGAGGUGAAAGCCCGGGGCUCAACCCCGGAACUGCCUUUGAAACUAGAUGACUAGAAUCUUGGAGAGGUCAGUGGAAUUCCGAGUGUAGAGGUGAAAUUCGUAGAUAUUCGGAAGAACACCAGUGGCGAAGGCGACUGACUGGACAAGUAUUGACGCUGAGGCGCGAAAGCGUGGGGAGCAAACAGGAUUAGAUACCCUGGUAGUCCACGCCGUAAACGAUGGUAACUAGCUGUCCGGGUACUUGGUAUUUGGGUGGCGCAGCUAACGCAUUAAGUUAUCCGCCUGGGGAGUACGGUCGCAAGNUUAAAACUCAAAUGAAUUGACGG